This 253-nucleotide ribosomal RNA is filed under the name uncultured bacterium. RNAcentral's name for it is "partial 16S ribosomal RNA". It matches the Rfam family "Bacterial small subunit ribosomal RNA", at positions 524 to 776 of the family's 1533-position model. The record is from RNAcentral.
UACGUAGGUGGCAAGCGUUGUCCGGAUUUAUUGGGUUUAAAGGGUGCGUAGGCGGCCCUGUAAGUCAGUGGUGAAAUAUCUCAGCUUAACCGAGAGGGUGCCAUUGAUACUGAUGGGCUAGAGUACAGAUGAGGUAGGCGGAAUUGACGGUGGAGCGGUGAAAUGCGUAGAGAUCGGAAAGAACACCGUUAGUGAAGACAGCUUGCUAGGCUUCUACUGACGCUGAGGCACGAAAGUGUGGGGAUCAAACAGG